CCUACGGGAGGCAGCAGUGGGGAAUAUUGCACAAUGGGGGAAACACUGAUGCAGCGACGCCGCGUGAGUGAAGAAGUAUUUCGGUAUGUAAAGCUCUAUCAGCAGGGGAGCAAAUGACGGUACCUGUUUAAGAAGCCCCGGCUAACUACGUGCCAGCAGCCGCGGUAAUACGUAGGGGGCAAGCGUUAUCCGGAUUUACUGGGUGUAAAGGGAGCGUAGACGGCAGCACAAGUCUGGAGUGAAAUGCCGGGGCUUAACCCCGGAAAUGCGUUGGAAACUGUGCAGAUAGAGUGCAGGAGAGGUAAGUGGAAUGCCUAGUGUAGCGGUGAAAUGCGUAGAUAUUAGGAGGAACACCAGUGGCGAAGGCGGCGUACUGGACUGUAACUGACGUUGAGGCUCGAAAGCGUGGGGAGCAAACAGGAUUAGAUACCCCAGUAGUC
RNAcentral lists this ribosomal RNA (440 nucleotides) under uncultured bacterium. Its description in RNAcentral is "partial 16S ribosomal RNA". It matches the Rfam family "Bacterial small subunit ribosomal RNA", at positions 338 to 795 of the family's 1533-position model. The record is from RNAcentral.